Molecule: non-coding RNA, 52 nt
Filed under: Trypanosoma brucei brucei
Lineage: Eukaryota; Euglenozoa; Kinetoplastea; Trypanosomatida; Trypanosomatidae
Source: RNAcentral
AAAACGAAAGUGAACUUACAGUAUAGAAAUGGAUGUAAAUUAAAUGAUUUAU